This 724-nucleotide ribosomal RNA is filed under the name uncultured Photobacterium sp. RNAcentral's name for it is "bacterial SSU rRNA". It matches the Rfam family "Bacterial small subunit ribosomal RNA", at positions 57 to 777 of the family's 1533-position model. Lineage: Bacteria; Pseudomonadati; Pseudomonadota; Gammaproteobacteria; Vibrionales; Vibrionaceae. The record is from RNAcentral.
GCGACUUAACUGAACCUUCGGGGAACGUUAAGGGGCGAGCGGCGGACGGGUGAGUAAUGCCUGGGAAUAUGCCCUGAUGUGGGGGAUAACUAUUGGAAACGAUAGCUAAUACCGCAUAAUCUCUUCGGAGCAAAGAGGGGGACCUUCGGGCCUCUCGCGUCAGGAUUAGCCCAGGUGGGAUUAGCUUGUUGGUGAGGUAAUGGCUCACCAAGGCAACGAUCCCUAGCUGGUCUGAGAGGAUGAUCAGCCACACUGGAACUGAGACACGGUCCAGACUCCUACGGGAGGCAGCAGUGGGGAAUAUUGCACAAUGGGGGAAACCCUGAUGCAGCCAUGCCGCGUGUAUGAAGAAGGCCUUCGGGUUGUAAAGUACUUUCAGUAGGGAGGAAGGCAGUGUCGUUAAUAGCGGCAUUGUUUGACGUUACCUACAGAAGAAGCACCGGCUAACUCCGUGCCAGCAGCCGCGGUAAUACGGAGGGUGCGAGCGUUAAUCGGAAUUACUGGGCGUAAAGCGCAUGCAGGCGGUCUGUUAAGCAAGAUGUGAAAGCCCGGGGCUCAACCUCGGAACAGCAUUUUGAACUGGCAGACUAGAGUCUUGUAGAGGGGGGUAGAAUUUCAGGUGUAGCGGUGAAAUGCGUAGAGAUCUGAAGGAAUACCGGUGGCGAAGGCGGCCCCCUGGACAAAGACUGACGCUCAGAUGCGAAAGCGUGGGGAGCAAACAGGA